GACGAACGCUGGCGGCGUGCUUAACACAUGCAAGUCGAAUGAUGAUCUCCCGCAUGCGGGGGAGCUUAGUGGCGAACGGGUGAGUAAUACGUGAGUAACCUGCCCUUGACUCUGGGAUAAGCCUGGUAAACCGGGUCUAAUACUUGAUACUACUUCCUGCUGCACGGUGGGGGGUGGAAAGAGUUUUACUGGUUUUGGAUGGGCUCACGGCCUAUCAGUUUGUUGGUGGAGUAAUGGCUGACCAAGGCGACGACGGGUAGCCGGCCUGAGAGGGUGACCGGCGACCCUGGGACUGAGAGACGGCCCAGAAGCCUACGGGAGGCAGCGGUGGAGAAUAUUGCACAAUGGGCGGAAGCCUGAUGCAGAGACGCCGCGUGAGGGAUGACCGGCUUCGGGUUGUGAACCUCUUUCAGCGGGGAAGAAGCCACAAGUGACGGUACCUGCAGAAGAAGCGACGGCUAACUACGUG
RNAcentral lists this ribosomal RNA (469 nucleotides) under uncultured bacterium. RNAcentral's name for it is "partial 16S ribosomal RNA". It matches the Rfam family "Bacterial small subunit ribosomal RNA", at positions 28 to 507 of the family's 1533-position model. The record is from RNAcentral.